Molecule: non-coding RNA, 125 nt
Organism: Triticum aestivum (bread wheat)
Lineage: Eukaryota; Viridiplantae; Streptophyta; Magnoliopsida; Poales; Poaceae
Source: Rfam
AUAGUACUCCCUUCGUCCGAAAAUACUGGUCCAAAUAAUGAAUGUAUCUAGAUGUAUUUUAAUUCUAGAUACACCUAUUUAUAUCCAUUUCUACUACAUGUAUUUUCGGACGGACGGAGUAUAUA